RNAcentral lists this ribosomal RNA (492 nucleotides) under uncultured bacterium. RNAcentral's name for it is "partial 16S ribosomal RNA". It matches the Rfam family "Bacterial small subunit ribosomal RNA", at positions 29 to 507 of the family's 1533-position model. The record is from RNAcentral.
AGUAAACGCUGGCGGUAGGCCUAACACAUGCAAGUCGAACGGCAGCACAGUAAGAGCUUGCUCUUACGGGUGGCGAGUGGCGGACGGGUGAGGAAUACAUCGGAAUCUACUUUUUCGUGGGGGAUAACGUAGGGAAACUUACGCUAAUACCGCAUACGACCUACGGGUGAAAGCAGGGGAUCUUCGGACCUUGCGCGAUUGAAUGAGCCGAUGUCGGAUUAGCUAGUUGGCGGGGUAAAGGCCCACCAAGGCGACGAUCCGUAGCUGGUCUGAGAGGAUGAUCAGCCACACUGGAACUGAGACACGGUCCAGACUCCUACGGGAAGCAGCAGUGGGGAAUAUUGGACAAUGGGCGCAAGCCUGAUCCAGCCAUACCGCGUGGGUGAAGAAGGCCUUCGGGUUGUAAAGCCCUUUUGUUGGGAAAGAAAAGCAGCAGGUUAAUACCCCGCUGUUCUGACGGUACCCAAAGAAUAAGCACCGGCUAACUUCGUG